RNAcentral lists this ribosomal RNA (254 nucleotides) under uncultured bacterium. Its description in RNAcentral is "partial 16S ribosomal RNA". It matches the Rfam family "Bacterial small subunit ribosomal RNA", at positions 524 to 776 of the family's 1533-position model. The record is from RNAcentral.
UACGUAGGGUGCGAGCGUUAAUCGGAAUUACUGGGCGUAAAGCGUGCGCAGGCGGUCUGUUAAGACCGAUGUGAAAUCCCCGGGCUUAACCUGGGAACUGCAUUGGUGACUGGCAGGCUUUGAGUGUGGCAGAGGGAGGUAGAAUUCCACGUGUAGCAGUGAAAUGCGUAGAGAUGUGGAGGAAUACCGAUGGCGAAGGCAGCCUCCUGGGCCAACACUGACGCUGAGGCGCGAAAGCGUGGGGAGCAAACAGG